UCUGCAACCGGAGAGGUCCAUCACUCGGCUGAUCCCACCUUUCCUCACCUUCCCCCAGACCUGGUGGCAAGGACUUCCCCCAAUGACCUCCAAAAGCAAGAUUCCCAACUCUACAGAUGCCACUAGACGUCACCCUCAAAUCUCUCUCCCCAAAGCCAUGCUUCUGAAAAUGAGCGCCAACCCCCAGGCCAGGAGCUGCUGUUUCAUCUUCUGGUUCUUCCUUCUUUGGUGGCCCACUUCGGCUCCAUGUUCCACUGCCACUGCUGCUGCCACAGUCCAUGGGAGUCACUGGGCGGAGAGGAGUCACAAGUGAGUCAUGAAGAAAGAGACCCCGGCCACCCUAGGGACCUUUCUGAUGGCUACUCCUGCGGGUAGGAGAAGCCUGGACGGUGAUCUUAUGUUCAAAUCCUGAAAGAAGAAAGAGGCGGUCCUAAGUGCAUGGCAUCCUCUGCAGGAACAGGAACUGACAGCAGGGGGCAUGUGGCACUGGCUCUCAAAAGUCCCAGAGCAGCUGGAAUUCUCUUGAAAUGGAGAUUCUUAGGCUCUCCCUGAAUGAAUAAACUUAGGGAGGCUCUAAAUCUGACUUAACUAAGGAUCCAGGCCUGAGUCCGCCAGGGCAGCAGUUAAAUACUAUGAGAGCAUGGAGCACUUGGGGCACCCGAGGGAGUGGAAUUUAAUAUCUACUUGUGACUAAGUUUAAGAAAGAUAGUAUAUUUGGUUGCUGGAGGCACUGAAGCAUGCUGGAAACAAACUGGGCAGGUGAGUCUACCUUCAUCAACUUGUAACGUUUAUAAAAUAUUAGUAUAAAUUUAAAAAAUAUACAAAUAUUUGCAGUGUCAGGGGAAUAUUUGCAAGCCCACGCCCUCUGCAUGCCAGGCAAGUACCUAACCAUUGAGCUAUCUGCCCAGGCUCCCAGAUCAUUUGUGGGGGGCGGUGGUAGUGCUGGGGAUGUAACCCCAGGCUCUGCACCUGUUAGUGCAAGUGCUCUACCACUGAGCCACACCCCCAACCCCUCUCAGAGCCCCUGGCCCAGCACCUGUUUUAUUUCUGGAUAUGGUCUUGCUAUGUAGCACAGACUGGCCCUGAACUCUCUCUCUAUCCCAGGCUGGCUUCAAAUUGAUCAUUUGCCUCUGCCUUCCCAGUGUUAGUAUUAUAGGUAGGCACCAUCAUGCCUGACCUGGAAACUUAACACCUAGGUCAAGAUGUGCUAUAAAUAUAAAACACACUGGAUCUCAAUGAUUCAGUGUGAAAACAAGAAAGCAACAUCUUAUGGUUUUUUGUUUUGUUUUGUUUUUGAUAAAGCUUAUAUGGCUAUACUGGGCUGAAUAAAACAGUGACUGUCCCAUAGUUUCUUUGUAUUGUGAUUUGAGACAGGGUCAUAUGCAGCCUAAAUUGAUUUCAAAUUUGUUAUACUGAGAAGACAAUCUUGAACUCCUAAUCCUCCUGCCUCCACCAUGCCUGGCUUCUUUUCAGCUUUUCAAUGUGGCUGCUCAACGUUAUGCCCAUGACUAUAUCUCCACUGGCUGGUACUGUUAUCGGCCAUGCUGUGACUUUUAACCUCAGUCACGUGUGCCAGGUAGGGAAUUAAGACUUUGUUUUCCUUUUGAGAAUCUCAACCCUUAACCAGGAUGGCCCAGUCUAGCCUUGAGCUUUUAGUGAUUCUCCUGCCUCAGUCUCAGGAUGGAUGCUGGGAUGACAAGUAUGAGCCUCCACACCAGGCUUUUUGGGGUAUGAUACAUUUGCAACAGAAAAAACUUGAAGGUACUGAGGGGUUAGCUCGAUGGAAAAACAAACUUGCCUAGCAUGUAUGAUACCCUGGCUCAGAUAAUUGUUCAAACAAAUCAAGCAGCCCUCUAUGGAGACAGAGCCCCCAGAAGGUUCUGGGGGGCGCUCAGGGG
Molecule: long non-coding RNA, 1898 nt
Organism: Alexandromys fortis (reed vole)
Lineage: Eukaryota; Metazoa; Chordata; Mammalia; Rodentia; Cricetidae
Exons: 3
Source: RefSeq, a predicted model, not a curated record